This is a non-coding RNA of Lupinus angustifolius (narrow-leaved blue lupine), 107 nucleotides long. Lineage: Eukaryota; Viridiplantae; Streptophyta; Magnoliopsida; Fabales; Fabaceae. The record is from Rfam.
AAUCCAUGAUUUGGGCACUUCCUGAGCAUAGAUUUGAAUCUAACACAGGAUUCACAAAGACUUUCCCCAGCAAGUUGAACAAAUGUGGAUAUUUCUUUUUUGAGAUC